AACAGCCCCUUGAGGACUUGUGUCGCCUAAGUUGAAUGACAGGGAAGAAACAAAAAUGAUUGUGUUCUUGGGUCUCUGGAGAAGAAACAACUUCCCAGAUGGAAAGCAGAGGCUUCUGUGGUGGCCCCUGGUCCUCAUCCUAACCCUAGGCUUUAGUGACUUACCCAGGAGUGAGUUCUUACGGUCCAAAACAGAGCACCUCAGGGAUUUGAAAGAGCCUGACCGUCUCCCCAACCUCCCAGGCCCACUCCGUCUCUAGCAGGCACCCAGCCCCUGCCUGGGGCAAUCCCCUCUGGCCUUCCCAUGAGCCCCCGGCCAGCUCCUGCUCCAGCUCUUGGUUCAGGUCACAGCUGCAUCUCUUACAAUGGCCCUGGACCUCUGGAUUUGGCUUCGGGAGUGGCUCUUCCCCAAGUGCUUCUGGCUCUUUCCCCCAAACUUUGCUUCCAACUCACUCAACAGGCUUGUUCUAUUUCAAAUGGUGAGCCCAUCAGCAACCCUAACUGCAUAUCAGUGCAGAACAGUGGUGCAGACAGAUUCUGUACUUAAGGCAUCAUGUGGGAACUGGGAAGGGAAAGAAGCUUGUCUUAUCCUAUUAGUUUUUAUCUUGUGUUUGUAUUGGGAGGGUUGAUCACAUUGUCUCUCUCCUGGGAUCACCAGACAGGGCCAAUGCUAAAGAGCUGUGGGUAUCACACUACUUUAGGUGUGAUCAAAGAUGAGGUAAAGAAAUAAUGGCGUGCUUCUCUCUUCCCUCCACCCCUUAUGGGCCACUUUCAGCACAGCAGCCAGAAACACAACCACACACACCACGUUAUGGUGAUCUCUGGUCCAGUCUGCAAAUAUGUUGUUGCCUGACACAAAGUAAACAGUCGAUGGAUGCUGCUGUGCUCGUCAUCGUUAAGUCAUCACUAUCAUCAUUUGCUCUGGCCAACUCCUGGUGUUUGCUGUCCUCUUAGAAGCUAAGCCACCGAAAGGAGCAAGCUAAGUCCUAGGGAAAAAUGUUGCCAGGCGUUCGGUCUUCUCAGAGUGAUAGCUGCUUAUUAGAAAGAAACCAACUUUGACUGUCACCUUCUCUGCCACUUGCACUCCGUUAAACCCAGAGACUGGCAGAUGCCUUUCAGCACAGCCGCACUCUGCCUCCCCUCCCUUCCUCCCAGACUCCUGUCUGAGACAGAACAGUAUCUUUGAGAACCCGAGGGCAAAAUCCUCUGCAGGAGUAGGAGGCGGCUCUUAAACAGCCCCAGGCGAUGUGGAAGGUGGGCGGAGGCUGAGCUAUUGCACUGCUCCCCAAAUCCCAGUGCCUGGCUGCACCCCCACACCUGAAACCUGCCUACCCUGGUUUAAGCCUCCCCCAGCCUUCCUGGUGAAGACCCCUCAUGGAUUCUUGUUACUCUCAGGAUUGUGCAAUAAACCCUUCUCCUUCACGCAGAGUAGACGUGACGGGAAAGUCUAUUUCUGGCCUGACUGUAUUGCAUCUUGUUUGACACCUCCGCUCAGCUGGCAUUCAGGUGGGCACUACCUGCUCAUGGAAAGUCCAGGAGAAAAUGGAAGAGAAGAUUUUUUAGAAAUCAACACACAAUUCAACGUCUUUCUUUCUUUCCUUCUUUGAGUAGACAAGUCAAUUUCACAGGGGCUGAGUAUUUACACCAGUCUGAACCUGGGCUGGAAAACUGUUCACCCCAAGCACCAUGGUGAGUGGGGAAGGAGGAGGCAGCUGCCGCCUUGAAAUCACCAACACAGCUUUGUUUCAUUGGCCCUGAGUCAGCCAAAACAUCAGACGUUCCAAAUAUUAGACAACCUUCCAGGCCAAUGUUAGCCCCAAAGCACAACCAAAAACCAAAGAGAAGUGUCUCAAAUGUUCCUGAAUGUUUUUACAUUUCUUGGACAACUAUUCUGCUCUGAGGGAAUGUGAGAAGAGCUGUCUGUUCCAUGGAGGCCCCAGAGAAAAUCAUUUCCCAUGCCAAGGCUGGAGCUGGUGGCUGUUUCCCUCUGGGGAACGGGGUGGGCUCCAUCACCCUCAGACAAGCUAUAAAGCAGGCUUUCA
RNAcentral lists this long non-coding RNA (2041 nucleotides) under Homo sapiens (human). RNAcentral describes it as "long non-coding RNA NONHSAT148462.1". Lineage: Eukaryota; Metazoa; Chordata; Mammalia; Primates; Hominidae. The record is from RNAcentral.